AGGACCCAACUCUCUUGAAGGAGAAGGUUAAUCUUGUCUCCUUGGACCUUGGGUGUGGUUGUGUAUAUGUGAAUAUUGGAGCUUGAUUGGUGACUUUGAAAAGCUUGGAAAGGGUUUGGUGGUGAAAAAUCUGUUCUUGGAGGUGUUGAGGCCUUGAGAGCUUAUGGUUAAGUGGUUUGGAAGUGCUCUGGUGGAGCUUGGGAAAUUCGGCUAAGAUGCAGGACGUGAGGUGUCCCGCUGAUGCAUGCUGGAGACUUCUAGAUUUGCGAAGAUCCUUUGUUCUCGGGGCUAUGUUUUGGUUUAUAUGUUUUGCUUAGAUACUUUUAUCUCCAUUAAAUAAUACAAACUGUGAUGACUCCUCUUAUGGGAGAUUUUGGAGAAUAGAUUUUAUGUAUUUGUGUCCCUUUGGGUUUCCUUUGGGGUUUUCCUUAUUCUAUCAUAUGUAUAUAUUGCUAUGCUCGGACCGGUUAUCUUCGCAGCCGGAUCUUGAGUCUUGAUAUUCCUGUUUUUGACACUCCUUUGUAUAUAUGCAA
Long non-coding RNA from Arachis duranensis, 533 nucleotides. RefSeq lists it as uncharacterized. The transcript has 3 exons. The record is from RefSeq and is a predicted model, not a curated record. NCBI's taxonomy places the organism in Eukaryota, Viridiplantae, Streptophyta, Magnoliopsida, Fabales, Fabaceae.